GGGUUGUGAGGUUAAGCGACUAAGCGUACACGGUGGAUGCCCUGGCAGUCAGAGGCGAUGAAGGACGUGCUAAUCUGCGAUAAGCGUCGGUAAGGUGAUAUGAACCGUUAUAACCGGCGAUUUCCGAAUGGGGAAACCCAGUGUGUUUCGACACACUAUCAUUAACUGAAUCCAUAGGUUAAUGAGGCGAACCGGGGGAACUGAAACAUCUAAGUACCCCGAGGAAAAGAAAUCAACCGAGAUUCCCCCAGUAGCGGCGAGCGAACGGGGAGGAGCCCAGAGCCUGAAUCAGUAUGUGUGUUAGUGGAAGCGUCUGGAAAGGCGCGCGAUACAGGGUGACAGCCCCGUACACAAAAAUGCACAUGCUGUGAGCUCGAUGAGUAGGACGGGACACGUGGUAUCCUGUCUGAAUAUGGGGGGACCAUCCUCCAAGGCUAAAUACUCCUGACUGACCGAUAGUGAACCAGUACCGUGAGGGAAAGGCGAAAAGAAC
Molecule: ribosomal RNA, 493 nt
Filed under: Escherichia coli
Lineage: Bacteria; Pseudomonadati; Pseudomonadota; Gammaproteobacteria; Enterobacterales; Enterobacteriaceae
Description: partial 23S ribosomal RNA
Rfam family: Bacterial large subunit ribosomal RNA
Source: RNAcentral